GUCGGGAUAGCUCACCUGGUAGAGCAGAGGACUGAAA
Molecule: transfer RNA, 37 nt
Filed under: Anthospermum palustre
Lineage: Eukaryota; Viridiplantae; Streptophyta; Magnoliopsida; Gentianales; Rubiaceae
Description: partial tRNA-Phe
Source: RNAcentral